GUUUGUGUUGUGUAACAUUUGUCAUUCUUGGCACUUUAUAGUUUACUGUAACGGUAUUGGAUUUCCUCAUGAUUCAGGGUCGUAUAAAGACCUAUGCAUGGUUACAUCUGUUCCCCUUGGUUCCUGUCGUAUAAUUGUCUCAUGGGCAAUUAUAACACAUCUCAUCUCUUUAUUUCCAUAAAUGCCUCUAAAUAGAUGAAU
This 201-nucleotide long non-coding RNA is filed under the name Mytilus galloprovincialis (Mediterranean mussel). The record is from RNAcentral. Lineage: Eukaryota; Metazoa; Mollusca; Bivalvia; Mytilida; Mytilidae.